Molecule: ribosomal RNA, 253 nt
Filed under: uncultured bacterium
Lineage: Bacteria
Description: partial 16S ribosomal RNA
Rfam family: Bacterial small subunit ribosomal RNA
Source: RNAcentral
UACAGAGGUCUCAAGCGUUGUUCGGAUUCAUUGGGCGUAAAGGGUGUGUAGGUGGCGCGCUAAGUCGGGUGUGAAAUUUCGGAGCUUAACUCCGAAGCUGCAUUCGAUACUGGCGUGCUCGAGGACUGGAGAGGAGACUGGAAUUCAUGGUGUAGCAGUGAAAUGCGUAGAGAUCAUGAGGAAGACCAGUGGCGAAGGCGGGUCUCUGGGCAGUUCCUGACACUGAGACACGAAGGCCAGGGGAGCAAACGGG